AUGCGUAUUAAUAUACAAGCCAGCAAGGUGGAAGAUUAGCGAACUGCUCUAAUUUUAAUUUUUUAAACGCAAGUUGAUAAAAAUGGCCACCAAACAAGAGCCAAAUGCCUACUUAGAAGAGCUUAAAAUGGAAAUGCAGCAAACUAAUCCUAGCUCACAUUCAGGUCGAUUAUUAUCUCAGGAAAUCUCACGGAUUGAGAAAGGAGAAUCCAAAGAUCGGAUCAUUCCAUGGAUAACUAUUCACAAUGAUCAGCCUCAGCAUGUUGCUGUCCGAGUCCGCAUUCCAAUCAAAGAACAUCCUAAGUACAACUUCGUUGGAAAGUUGCUGGGACCAAAGGGAGCCUCUCUAAAACAAAUACAAGAAGAAACUGGAACGAAAAUGUCAAUUUUAGGCAAGGGUUCUAUGCGAGACAAAAACAAGGAAGAGGAAUGUCGUAAAGAAGGUGGCAAGUUCGCCCAUUUAAAUGAUGAUCUUCAUGUUCUGGUGGAAGUGUUCUCUGAAAACACUGAUGCGUAUGCCAGAUUAGCACAAGGGCUAGCAGAGCUGAAGAAAUACUUAGUUCCAGACUACAACGAUGAGAUUCGUAUGCAGCAGUUUGACAUGAUGGGUUACAUGUCUAACGGCCAGCCACCGAUUCGUGGUGGUCCAGGAGGGGGACGUGGUGUCCGGGGGGCCCCACGUGGUGCACCGCGAGGUCGUGGAGGGCCCCCAGGUGCUUCACCUGGGGGAAGGGGUGCCCCCGGUGGUAGAGGAGCGCCUGCUCCAAGAGGGAUGUCUCGUGGAAUGCCAAGAGGUGCGCCAGCAGCUCGAGGUCGCGGGGUCCCGCGAGAACCUCCAGCAUUCGAGGACCCUUACAGUGCUGCGGGAUUUGAAGAUCCAUACGCAAGUGCCGGUGUCGGCAGUGGCUAUGGAGAGGCAGAGUAUGACCCAGCAUAUGGUGGUGCAAGUGACACACAGUACUUUGAUUAUGGCCAUGGAUCUGGAGGAACUGGUGCAGGUGCUUAUGAAGACUAUAGUGGCGGUUGGGGAACGUCUGGUGGCGGACCAGUCAAGCCAUCAGCUGGUCGUGGAAUGAGGGCACGCACACAUCCGUACGGAGCCCCCCGAGGUGGUGGCGGAUACUAAAGUGCUUGUGUUGGUGCUUGUGGCCAUAUCAUCAGUUGAAAUCAUUCAUCACUUGUCUUGUCAUAUGAACAGUUGUACAUGUUGAGCAAAUAAAGAGAUGAAAAGCUGCAGAAUUGACCGGCCCUAAAAGAUAAGAGGUAACGAAGGAACAAAAAUAAAACUGGAUUCCAACAAAUUUUAAACAGGUAACGUGGCUAGUUUUGUUUAAUGUUUUCACUUAACCACAUCGGUCGACUGAAGUGUGACCAGCUGUCUCAAAAUAACAAAUGAACAAAUGUAGUUGUGUAGUUUAAUAACUUAAUUUUAAUGUAUAUAAUUUUGUAAAGGCUAAAUGUAAAUACAAACAUUAUGCAGUCAUGAUACAAAUGAAUAGUUUUUUAAAAAAAUUACAUACUAGUAAUUCUAACAAUAUUGUUUAUUUCUAAAAGAAUGUUACAUUAAAUUAUUAAUGAUCAUUUUUAAAUAGACUAGAAAAGAAAAUUAAAAAAUAUUUUUAGAUACUUAAGAUGUAUAUAUGCUUUUUUGUUUGUUUAUUGAACAGGCUUUGCAUUUUUCUGUAAGAGUGACCAAGUGAACAAAUUGAAACUUAUUAAAAAGGGAAAAACAUUGGUUGAUUAUAUACAAAUUAAGAAAAAAAAGAAGUCAUUUGGUAAUGGUUAAAAUGCAAGGCCUGUACAUGUGCAUGAUGGGUUUAUGGUAUUAUAUUGGACUCUGUUGUCCUACAGCAGUUUCAAUGUGCAUGUAUUGGUUAUUUUUUUUUAUUAAUAUUUUUUUGUUUUGUUUUACCAUUUCUCCUUUUGAUCCUUUACGAGCAAUGACAAUGAAAUUGUUUUGGGUCAAACUUGGCAUUUUAGUACUUGCUCAUGUAUUCUGUUUGAUAGCUCUAAAUUAGAGAUAAAAAUCACUUUGAUAUUGCCACAAUUCUGGAUUUGAGCGCAACCUGGAAAUUUCAGUAGUUAUUUCAAGUGUUGAUGUUCGAACUAAGAUGUUCAAAGGCAAAUGGAUAACAUAAUAGUUUAUAUUCAUAGUCUCACUUUGGAUGUAAUCGGCGUUAUCCCUGGGUUGAGUGAGAUCCAUCCUUUCAACGUACACUUGUAGUAAUCAAUGACUGGAUAUAUUCUGUGCUGUUGCUGAAGUGUGGAUAAAAUGCCCCAAGCUGCUAAUUGAAAUCUGACAGCAGUGGGUGGUUUUUUUUUGUUUUUGUUUUUUAAAAACCUUUAUCACACUUGUGCUGAUGUCAUUAAAGUUUUCAUUAUUGACCUUGAAGGGUGUUUUGAAUUUGGCCACCCAUACCUACUGACGUAUGCUGAGUCUGCUUGAUGCAUGAAUCUCUAUUUCUGCACACAGCUGGGGAGCAGCUUUUCAUGUGUUCUGUUCUCUUCACUGCCUAUCUGCAUUGUAAUUACAGUUACUGUAAAUAAAUCCAAGGCGAUGUCCAGUUUGUUCAUAGGUUUUCAGAAUAUUAAUACUAAAUCUCGGGGCCCUACAUUAACUCUCGACAUCAGUUUUUACUUGACCUAUCUGAAUUGUGCUUGCACCACCCUGUUUUGGUUAAAAUAAAAGUGAAACCAUUUUAAAGUUGAUUUUCAGUUCACUUGUCCAGCUGGACAAGUUGUUUGAAUUCCCAAACUAGGGCAAGCAGACAAGCUUUAACGUAGGGCCCUGUGAAUUCUCAUAAUGGUGAAUUUCACUGUUUAUUUUGUUUUCUUGAGAACUUUUUCAUGUAUUAUGACAAAAGUAUUGUCUCAUUGUGUAUUCGAUAGUUUUAGAUCUUAUUCUCCCAUACUUUAAAUGUAUUUAAAAUGUGUAACUAUUUGAUUUUUUUUUUUCAUGGGCAAAAGUUAAAAACAUUGGUAUAUAACUGAAAAAUCUUGUAAAAUAUUUUAGUCCAGUAUUAAUAUUAAUAUUCAUUACUUGCUCUGUAAUUUAAAAUUUGUUUAGAUAUUGAUUUAUAUUAAAACAAAUUAUUCAUACCUAAGAAGACCGAAACUGAAAACCUUCCAGGAUUGAUGUAAAUAGGGAAAUUAUUUUACUCACUUCUUUCACUAUAGGUUUCAAAGUUACAUACAACCGUCUUAUAUAUAUUUAAUUACUAUAACAGCAUUGUAAAGUAGUGUAUGGGAGGGAGUUUUGGUUUUAUUUGGUCAUUCAUCGACUUGUUUUCGUUUUUUGCAGGUGCAGUAUGGUGGAAACUGCAGCAUUUAUGUUUUUGAAAGAAAAUGCAAUCACUGAAUAAAUUUUAUUUUUAUACUAAA
Molecule: RNA transcript, 3381 nt
Organism: Gigantopelta aegis
Lineage: Eukaryota; Metazoa; Mollusca; Gastropoda; Neomphalida; Peltospiridae
Gene name: KH domain-containing, RNA-binding, signal transduction-associated protein 2-like
Exons: 10
Source: RefSeq, a predicted model, not a curated record